Molecule: ribosomal RNA, 292 nt
Filed under: uncultured microorganism
Description: partial 16S ribosomal RNA
Rfam family: Bacterial small subunit ribosomal RNA
Source: RNAcentral
GUGCCAGCAGCCGCGGUAAUACGUAGGUGGCAAGCGUUGUCCGGAUUUAUUGGGCGUAAAGGGAGCGCAGGCGGUGACUUAAGUCUGAUGUGAAAGCCCACGGCUCAACCGUGGAAGGUCAUUGGAAACUGGGUCACUUGAGUGCAGAAGAGGAAAGUGGAAUUCCAUGUGUAGCGGUGAAAUGCGUAGAUAUAUGGAGGAACACCAGUGGCGAAGGCGACUUUCUGGUCUGUAACUGACGCUGAGGCUCGAAAGCGUGGGGAGCAAACAGGAUUAGAUACCCUGGUAGUCC